AACGAACGCUGGCGGCAUGCCUAACACAUGCAAGUCGAACGAGACCUUCGGUUCUAGUGGCGCACGGGUGCGUAACGCGUGGGAACCUGCCCUUAGGUUCGGAAUAACUCCCCGAAAGGGGUGCUAAUACCGGAUAAUGUCUUCGGACCAAAGAUUUAUCGCCUUUGGAUGGGCCCGCGUUGGAUUAGCUAGUUGGUAGGGUAAAAGCCUACCAAGGCGACGAUCCAUAGCUGGUCUGAGAGGAUGAUCAGCCACACUGGGACUGAGACACGGCCCAGACUCCUACGGGAGGCAGCAGUGGGGAAUAUUGGACAAUGGGCGAAAGCCUGAUCCAGCAAUGCCGCGUGAGUGAUGAAGGCCUUAGGGUUGUAAAGCUCUUUUGCCCGGGAUGAUAAUGACAGUACCGGGAGAAUAAGCUCCGGCUAACUCCGUG
This 433-nucleotide ribosomal RNA is filed under the name uncultured bacterium. Its description in RNAcentral is "partial 16S ribosomal RNA". It matches the Rfam family "Bacterial small subunit ribosomal RNA", at positions 29 to 507 of the family's 1533-position model. The record is from RNAcentral.